Molecule: long non-coding RNA, 6914 nt
Organism: Peromyscus californicus insignis
Lineage: Eukaryota; Metazoa; Chordata; Mammalia; Rodentia; Cricetidae
Exons: 5
Source: RefSeq, a predicted model, not a curated record
UCCUGUUUCAGUUAGCCAGCAAACCCACACUCCCCUAACCCAGCACACAUUUUUGUAACUACCCCCUAGAGGUUUUCUUCAUCAAGUAAGGAAAAUCGAAUUCUGUUUUCCUAAGUGACGGGAUGUGUUUAUCCAGGGACUCCAAGCGGGAUCCAGCGCCUGGCCAGAUGGAUCCAGAUAUACUCAGCAGAAUGUGAGGCGCCGGCCCCAGGGCCCUCCCUGACCAUGUGACUCACAGAAGGCAUCAACUCCUCAGCUAGGAGUGGAACGUUCUUGGGUUCUCUUCUAGCCUCCUGAGAGUCUGCUCAGGUCAAGAAGCACCUAGGAAUGAGAAGAAACACUUGUGUUCAGAAACAUGAAAGCACUUGCGGGUUGCUCUCAUCAGCAUGGCUGAGCUGGAGAAGCAGGCCACCGUGUGCCACUUUUGUGCAGAAGAAGAGGGACUUGGAGAGCGGAGACAUCUGCUGUGCAGUCUUAAAACCACACUGCAUCACCUGCUACUGGCUGAGCUAGUCAUGGGCUCCAGCACAUCACGGGGCCACCAAGACUUGUGUUGUCUUGGAAAUAGAGUUCAACAGCCUUUUUGGUCACAGGAACAGAAGAUAUGAUAAAACAGGGACUGGCCUGGAACUUGCUACACAGCCAAUGGUGGCUUUGACCCUCCUGACUCGGCUCCCAAGUGUUGGGGUUACAGUGUGUGCCACCUGGUCUGACCUUGGAAUGUUGCGGGAACCUUCCUUCAAUAAGUUCUUGUCUCUGGAGGAGGGAAAACUCCUUUCAAGAGCUUGACACAUGAUGAACUUUUGUUUUUGUUUUUGUUUUUGUUUUUCGAGACAGGGUUUCUCUGUGUAGCUUUGCGCCUUUUCCUGGAACUCACUUGGUAGCCCAGGCUGGCCUCGAACUCACAGAGAUCCACCUGGCUCUGCCUCCCGAGUGCUGGGAUUAAAGGCGUGCGCCACCACCGCCCGGCUAUGAUGAACUUUUGACUAGCACAGCUGGCUAGCACAGCUGGCUAGCCAGCAGCACCGGCCUCCCUGGUUCAUGACAGACACACACUCUGUGAAGCACCCCAAGCGACCUGCCGACAUUCCCACAACUCACCAGGGUUGAGGUUAGCAUAUCAUGGGGGCAGAGACUGGAGUAAGUUGUUUGAGAAAACAAUCUGUCUUUUAAUAACAGUAGAUGCAGAAUAAGAAUUGAUGAGGAAUAUAAGAAGGCCCUCAUCACUUUGGCAUGUGACAGGGUGACUUCCAGGAAACAAAAGGCCUACAUCAACAACAAACCAUACCAUGACCAUUGUCCACAGUCAUGCUCUGAGGCUGCUCUGAAGGUAGCUGUGGGUUUUGAGAAUGUGGCAGGCUCUCUCUCUUCCCUUCUCUUGCCUCUGUAAAUGAUAAUGAAAAGGGAAAAGCCAUUGUAUACAAAAUUACGCCUGAAAUUUUUAAACUUUAAGCCAAAAGUCUGUUUCUUCAAAUUGAAAAGUAGUACUUUGGGACCAACACACUCAAUGCUGUUGCUAGGAAACCCAUUCUCAAUUUUCUACCCUUUAAUCUUGGUGAACUUGAAAACAGUAUCAAAGGCGAGCUAGGCUAUUGGAUUUUCAUUCUGUCUUUGUUUUUUCUCCUUUUAAAAAGGACAUGGCUUUCCCCCUCUUUUUAAUAAACCCAAAUCCACCAAGCCUCCAUCCUAUCCUUUUUCAAACCCUGCCAUCUGUCUUGUUCCCCCAGACCUUCAGUCGUCCUUCUCUGGACACCAAAUCAUCUCUAUCUCAUGUCAGCCAUGCCUCCCCGCCCCCCAAGGGUGUCAUGAGUUUUGGUUAAGUAACUCCUCAUUGCGUGUGCCUCUGAGAAUUAACUUGACCCCAUCAUGGGUUUUAAUGCCUAUAUAUGAACCCAUGUUGAUUCCCCAAACCCUUUCUCUGGUUUCCCAGCUCCUGAGCCUCCUGUAGAACCCUGUCCUGGUUUCUGAUCCGCGGGUGGUGACCUGGUCUUGUGCCUCUUACACAGGCUAUCCUUGAGUCUGCCUGGAAGCUCUGUUUUCCUGCAGUUCACCCAAGUCCAGCUUCUUCCCUCUCCCCUGGUUUGCCUGUCUGUGCGCUGGAGCAUAUCCUUUUGUGAACUUCUGGCAAAUGUAACGGACAAUAAUUUUUUGAGGACUUCUCUGAAUGUGUCUUUCUUCUGAUUUUACAUUUGAUUAAUAGUUGCUUGAACACAGGAUUCAAAUACUUCCCAGGCCUUUGGAGGCACCGCUCCAUUGUCUCCUUGUCUCUUGAGUUACUGGGGAGAGGGUCAGGCAUAGAUUCUGAUCCACGGUCUGUUGUACAAACCCACAGAGUCAUCUCUUGCCGCUGUGACAAGAUCCUUGAGAAAAUCGACUUUAAAAUAGAAAGUCUCAGAUGUGGGGCUCAAGGGACACUGAGCUGGAUCAUGGGGGGGGUAAGAUGUUUAUUAGAAGAGUUAUUAAUUCCAUGGGUAGACAGACAGACAGAAAGACAGACAACAACGUGGCGGGGCUUCUGAGGAGAGUUUUCCAGGUCAGACAGCAUGGGUGGGGUCCUAUGAAGCAUGGGUGGGGGUACUUUUUUUUUUUACUCUUGGGGGCCUGCCACCCAGCUCCCAAAUAAAUACAUGGAGACUUAUUCUUACUUAUGAAUACCCAGUCUUAGCUUGGCUUGUUCCUAGCCAGCCUUUCUAACUUAAAUUAUCCCGUUUCUCUUUUACUACAUUUUGCCUCUGGGCUUUUUACCUUUCUUUAGUCUAUAUAAUUUUCUUUCCUUCUUACUCUGUGACUGGCUGUGUGGCUGGGUGGCUAGUCCCUGGCUUCUUCCUCUCCUCCUCUUCUCGCUCCUCCCCUUCUCUUAUUCUCUCUGCCUGCCAGCCCCGCCUAUCCUUUCUCCUGCCUAUUAUUGGCCAUUCAGCUCUUUAUUAGACCAAUUGGAUGUUUUAGACAGGCACAGUAACACAGCUUUACAGGGUUAAACAAAUGCAACCUAAAAGAAUGCAACACAUCUUUGCACCAUUAAACAAAUAUUCCACAGCAUAAAUGAAUGUAGCACAUCUUGAACAAACAUUCAACAACAAGUGGGAGCCUAUGAAACAGAUUCAGGCCCGUGUAGCUGAGUCAGGGUCCCGUCUCAGCUGGAGUUUGCAGCCAGGCUUCCUGAUUCCCUGGCAGAAGGCAGGGAAAGGGAUUUGGAGUAGGGUGUGUGGUCACUGGCAUCCCUUUGAUGUGAACCCAAUUCCUAGCCCAGAAGUCUGACUACCCAGAAGCUUGCUAACUAGUGUUCUUAGUAGGGUGCCCAUCAGCACCUGUAGGAGGGCUGUAGGUAUUACAGCCUCAGCAGAAGUCUGAUCUGGAUCCUAACCCUGAGAAAGGUUUAUUUUUGUUCAUGCUUCCAGAGGUUUCAGCCCACGGGCUCGUGGCUCCAUUAUUUUGGGGGCAGCAGUGCACAAAAUCCUGUGGCAUGGAGCAAAUCUUACCUUAUGGCAACAACUGGGGGGGGUGUGAUGGUGUAUGGGUAUGUGCAAAUGCCUUUGGAGGCUUGAAGUAUUGACUCCCCAGGAGCAUGAGUUAUAGGCAGUUGUGAGAUGCCUGACAUGGAUGCUAGGAACUGAACUCAUGUCCUCUGAGAGAGCAAUCCAUUCUCUUUACUGCUGAGAUGCUAGGAACUGAACUCAGGUCCUCUGAGGGAGCAGUCCAUUCUCUUUACUGCUGAGCCAUCUCUUCAGACCAAUCAAUAUCUUUUCUUUGAUCCUUGUGAAUAUUUACUAUUACUCAAUAGAAAAGCUUUCCUUUCUAUAUUAGCUCCCCCCAUGUUCAUUUACUUAUUUUUGAGAUAGGGUAUCACUAUGUAGCACUGACUGGCUUUAUUAUGUAGAUCAGGUUGGCCUUGAACCUACACAGAAAUCCUCCUGCUGCUAGAGUGCUGGGAUCCGAGGUGUAUGCUGUCAGACCUGCUCCAUUAAUCUCCUUCCUUUCCCUUUCUCUCUCCCCUCCCUCAUUUUCCUCCCUCUUUCUGUUCUUCCUCCUUUCUUCCUCUCUGUCUUUUUCUUCUUUCUCAUUGUCUUAGUUAGGGUUUUAUUGCUGUGAAGAGACACCAUGACCACGGCAACUCUUAUAAAGGAAAAUGUUUAACUGGGGCUGGCUUACAGGUUCAGAGGUUCAGUCCAUUAUCAUCAUGGCGGGGAGCAUGGUGGCAUGCAGGCAGACAUGGUACUGGAGAGGAGCUGAGAGUUCUACAUCCAGAUCAGUAGGCAGCAGGAAGAGAGAGCGACACUGGGCCUCCCUUGAGCAUCUGAGACCUCAAAGCCCGCCCCCUAGUGACACACUUCCUCCAACAAGGCCACACCUCCUAAUAGUGUUACUCCCUAUGAGCCAGCCUAUGGGGGCCAUUUUUAUUCAAACCGCCACAUUCAUGCUUCCCUUUUCUCUUCCUGCUUUUUUUCUCCUUUUACUUUCUCUUUUUUCAUUCUUGCCGUUUUCUUUCUUUCCUUCUUCUUUUCUUUUCUUUUCUCUAUUUUUCUUCUUUGUGUCUGCUAUUUACAUUUCUGUUACUUUCUUAGGGGUUUUUCUUAGAGGGUAUGGCUGGUUGAUCCUAUUAGGGAGGAGGCACUGGAGAGCUUAGUUGGAAUCUAUGCAUUUAUAGAAUAAUUUGUUGAACAAUGAGGUUCCCAGGGAAUGGGGCUUACCUAUUUUUCCAACUUAUAUACCAGCACAGUGUGUCUUUCUUUAGGUCCAGUCCUCUACAGGGGAGCCUGUCUUUAGGUCACCAGGACGUUAUAGACUGAAUUGUGUUCUUCUUAACAGAUGUGUGAAAGGCUAACUGCCAAGACUCACAGUGUGUCUGUCCUUGCUUGGAGUCAUGACAUGGCCACUGUGGAGAGGGCUGGAUCUAACCAAGAAUGGCCGCCAUGAGAAUGGGACGAGAGAGACAGACACAUGAGGACCUCACAGGAGGCAGACUAUGGUGAUAUUUUAUUUGUGCUGAAAUGUGAUUUUAUUUGUAUGUUAAUAAAUAAACUUUGCCUGGAGAUCAGAGGUCAUAGCGAACCAUUAAGCAGAAGUCAGGUGGUGGUAGCCCAUGCCCUUAAUCCGAUCACAUGGCAGGCAGAGUCCCUGUGUGGUCAAGGACACAGCCAAGUGUGGUGACACAAACCUUUAAUUGCAGUACCAACCAUAGAGACCUGGAGGUCUGUAUAGACAGGCAGUGAUGAGGAAGUCAUGUGGCUGGGCUUAGAGCCAAUGAGAAGGCAGAAGAGAAAGGCAAUAAAAAGACAGGUCAGACAUUAGAGGCUCUCUCUGGGGAAGCUACUGCUGGUGGUAAGCUAAAGGUAGUCGUGGCUAUUGCUCUGAUCUCCUUGGCUAUUUCCUCUGUAUUUGGCUCUGUGUUUCUUAUUUACUAAGACUGUUUAGAAUUUCAUCUACAGCAGACACACAGAGAAGCUUCACCAUGAGAGGCUGCCAUGGGUUGAGAAGAACCUGGAGCCACCAGCAGCUGGAGGCAGUGGGCAGAGUGCUCCCUGGAAGCUCUGGAGACCAAGAGGCUCGGCCACACCCUGACUUUCAGCCUCUAGAACAGUGAGAAGACAAGUUUCUGUUGCUUUAGGCAUUUUGUUCUGGCGCCCUGGCGAAUGAGCGCAGAAGGUGUACGUGUCUAUUGAUCUUGAGUGAUUUCCACUGGAGGAGGUCUGAGCGGGGAGCCCUGCUCCUACAACAAUUUGACUUCACUCCUCCAUCUACUUCCCCGUUCAUGUAGGAUCUGCCCUUGUGUGUCUGGACAUGCUGUUCCUAAGUCUGGCUCCUUGGCACAACUCUGACUUAACUGCUCUUGACCUUAUUGGUUUGCAGACCCAGGGUCUUGCAUCCUUCCUGCACAGACCUCCAACAAAUUCUUGUCUGUUCAGCCACAGCUCAGUUUUGAACAAAAUAGCCCAAACUUUUUAUUCCUGAGAAAUCUGCCCUUUGUCUCCACAAAUGCAAUUUCUAGUUCUCAAGUCUCUCAAAGGUCACAGCUUCCACAGCCCUUGUCUCUCCAAGAUGUAAAGGCAGAUGCUCACUUCUGGCAUUUCCAAGCAGGGGUGCUGGCCGUUCUGGGGUGUAAUUCAAGUAACAUCAAGGUAGGUUCUGCAGGGAAAUCUCCAUGGAGAUUUGUCUAGGCACCACCUCCUGGUCCUCAGUCUCCACACAGAGCCCCUCAGGGCACAUUUGUUGACUAAAAGCAGGAGCUGAGAUGGCAGUGAAACUGGCCAGGAAAUAUCUGACUCUGCACACAAAGAAAAAAACUACAUCCCGAGAUUAUGGACUGGCUGGAUUUGUGUGUCAACUUGACACAAGCUAGUCAUCAGUUAGGAAGGAGCCUCAGUUGAGGAAAUGCCGCCAUGAGAUCCAGCUGUAAGGCAUUUUCUCAAUUAGUGAUCGAUGAGGGAGGACCCAGCCCAUUGUGGGUGGUGCCAUCCCUGGGCUGGUAGUCCUGGGUUCUAUAAGAAAGAAGGCUGAGCAAGCCAGUAAGCAGCACUCCUCCAUGGCCUCUGCAUCAGCUCCUGCCUCCAGGUUCCAGCCCUGCUUGAAUUCCUGUCCUGACUUCCUCCAACGAUGGACUAUGAUCUGGAAGUGUAACCCAACUUGCUUCUUGAUCAUGGUGUUUUGUUGCAGCAAUAGAAAACCCAAUUAAGAUAGAUUGCUAAAGAGAGACUGGAUCCACCCGCCUUUUACAAAUGGAAAUUUACAUUUCAAACUGCAAAAAGCAAAGGGUCCAACUGGAAUUUUCAUGUAGUCCUACAAUUAUAAAACCAAAGACACCUUUGCUAAAAUCAUUAAAUUGCAAUCUACUAUGGGAAGGUUUCUUGGCUCCUCUCACAUUCAGGCUUGUGACAGCCUUAAAAUUAAUCAGCUGAACCUGUUUAACGGCUCACAGA